CAGGGUAAAGCUUAGUAGUGUAGUAUGUGUUUGGCAUUCAUGAGGCCCUGGGUUCAAUGCCCAGUACUUUGC
RNAcentral lists this transfer RNA (72 nucleotides) under Cricetulus griseus (Chinese hamster). It matches the Rfam family "tRNA". Rfam says of the family: Transfer RNA (tRNA) molecules are approximately 80 nucleotides in length. Their secondary structure includes four short double-helical elements and three loops (D, anti-codon, and T loops). The record is from Rfam by way of RNAcentral. Lineage: Eukaryota; Metazoa; Chordata; Mammalia; Rodentia; Cricetidae.